CCAAUAGCGUAUAUUAAAGUUGUUGCAGUUAAAAAGCUCGUAGUUGAAUUUCGGGAUCAAUAUAUCGGUCGUGCCUCCGGUACGUACUGGUAUCGUUGAUUUCUACCUUCUGACGAACCAUGAUGUCAUUAAUUUGGUGUCAUGGGAAAUCAGGACUGUUACUUUGAAAAAAUUAGAGUGUUUAAAGCAGGCAUACGCUUGAAUACAUUAGCAUGGAAUAAUGAAAUAGGACGUUUGAUCCUAUUUUGUUGGUUUCUAGGAUCGACGUAAUGAUUAAUAGGGAUAGUUGGGGGCAUUAGUAUUCAAUUGUCAGAGGUGAGAUUCUUGGAUUUAUUGAAGACUAACUACUGCGAAAGCAUUUGCCAAGGAUGUUUUCAUUAAUCAAGAACGAAAGUUAGGGGAUCGAAGACGAUCAGAUACCGUCGUAGUCUUAACCAUAAACUAUGCCGACUAGGGAUCGGAUGAUGUUAAUUUUUUAAUGACUCAUUCGGCGCCUUACG
RNAcentral lists this ribosomal RNA (500 nucleotides) under uncultured Glomeromycotina. RNAcentral's name for it is "partial small subunit ribosomal RNA". It matches the Rfam family "Eukaryotic small subunit ribosomal RNA", at positions 591 to 1092 of the family's 1831-position model. Lineage: Eukaryota; Fungi; Glomeromycota. The record is from RNAcentral.